UACGAAGGGGGCUAGCGUUGCUCGGAAUUACUGGGCGUAAAGCGCACGUAGGCGGCUUCUUAAGUCGGUGGUGGAAUCCUGGAGCUCAACUCCAGAACUGCCUUCGAUACUGGGAAGCUCGAGUCCGGGAGAGGUGAGUGGAACUGCGAGUGUAGAGGUGAAAUUCGUAGAUAUUCGCAAGAACACCAGUGGCGAAGGCGGCUCACUGGCCCGGUACUGACGCUGAGGUGCGAAAGCGUGGGGAGCAAACAGG
This 253-nucleotide ribosomal RNA is filed under the name uncultured bacterium. Its description in RNAcentral is "partial 16S ribosomal RNA". It matches the Rfam family "Bacterial small subunit ribosomal RNA", at positions 524 to 776 of the family's 1533-position model. The record is from RNAcentral.